Molecule: ribosomal RNA, 465 nt
Filed under: uncultured Klebsiella sp.
Lineage: Bacteria; Pseudomonadati; Pseudomonadota; Gammaproteobacteria; Enterobacterales; Enterobacteriaceae
Description: bacterial SSU rRNA
Rfam family: Bacterial small subunit ribosomal RNA
Source: RNAcentral
CCUACGGGGGGCUGCAGUGGGGAAUAUUGCACAAUGGGCGCAAGCCUGAUGCAGCCAUGCCGCGUGUGUGAAGAAGGCCUUCGGGUUGUAAAGCACUUUCAGCGGGGAGGAAGGCGUUAAGGUUAAUAACCUUGGCGAUUGACGUUACCCGCAGAAGAAGCCCCGGCUAACUCCGUGCCAGCAGCCGCGGUAAUACGGAGGGUGCAAGCGUUAAUCGGAAUUACUGGGCGUAAAGCGCACGCAGGCGGUCUGUCAAGUCGGAUGUGAAAUCCCCGGGCUCAACCUGGGAACUGCAUUCGAAACUGGCAGGCUAGAGUCUUGUAGAGGGGGGUAGAAUUCCAGGUGUAGCGGUGAAAUGCGUAGAGAUCUGGAGGAAUACCGGUGGCGAAGGCGGCCCCCUGGACAAAGACUGACGCUCAGGUGCGAAAGCGUGGGGAGCAAACAGGAUUAGAUACCCGUGUAGUC